Molecule: long non-coding RNA, 1686 nt
Organism: Anneissia japonica
Lineage: Eukaryota; Metazoa; Echinodermata; Crinoidea; Comatulida; Comatulidae
Exons: 3
Source: RefSeq, a predicted model, not a curated record
AAAAAAAACUAAUGCUCAUAAUGCUAUUAGUGCCCCUGUGAAAGAAAGUUAAUUAUUACAUAAAUACAUUUUUGAGUAGUUUGUAUUGUAUGAUUAUCAACCAAACUGUAUAUAAUCAUAUACCCUAAAAUCUUAAUCUCAAGGAGAAUCCCCAUCUCAAAUUUAAAGGCCCCACUCCUUCAGCUUGCAAAAUUAGCCUCGAAAAGAAGCCCAUAAUCUUGGCAAACAAAAUAAAUUAAAAACAUGCUUAUUUUGUACAGUAGUUAUUUAUUGUUUUAUAGUGCCAAAAAUUCCAAAAAUUUACAGCAUUCAUUUCGAAAAGAAGCCCAUCUCGAAAAAAAAAAAGCCCAUCCAAAGUUGGCAAAAAAAGAAACCCCGGGCUUCAAUUUGAGGUUUUACAGUAGGCUAAUUAUAGUUACGAGUAAUUAACAUUAAUUUAGUUUUUCAUUAAAUUUGAUAGCCUCACUUUUAUUGAAAGAAAGUGCUAAAAAAUACUUUAACUAUAUUUUUAAGUAUAAUUAAUUAUCAAUCUGAUUUGUUUUCAUAAAGGAACUGGUCUGUGGAAAGCAUUUGCUUUCCUUAAUUCAGAAGUUGAUGGAACAGGAUCAAGACUACUAAUACGCUGCUGUUGAUAUGCUAGAUUCUGCCAACAAUGGUCUUGAUAACAACGGAAUGUCAGUUUGGCCAAAGAUUCAAGCCGACUUUGAUCUUACUGCCCUUAGUUGUACUGAUUUUGAUUACGUUUGCGUGGAAGUCCAAAAAGCGAUAGCCCUGCUCCUGACUUUACACUCACUUAUCAAAUAAGUACAGCUGAUGUUGGCUGUGCUCAAAUACAAUGCACUGGGCUUGAAAUUCUCAGUGGUGCAACUUUGACUAUUACUGCUGGUUUCUUAGAAGAUCGAUCAACAACAGUUGCAUUUGAUGUUAGUUAUCCUACUGGUAAUGCUGGGGUUACUGGCGACAAUCUUUGGGACGUCAAUGUGUAUGCAAGUGCUAAUGCAGAUGGAAGUGGUACAAGGGUUAGUUCUCAACAAGUAACAUUACCAUGUGAGCUCAAAUGGCCCCUGUAAAUGGGUCUACUUGUGGCAUAUAUCUAUGACCCACUGAUGGUAAUGGUGAUAAUUAUAUAGAGAGCUUUCGAUUUGUACGACGGCGCGACGCUAGAAAGGAAGCGCUCGUGUGUGAUCAUCCUGCCGGGCGGCGAAAUUUUUUUUUUCUCGUCAUUUAAGGCAGAAGUCAACAGAGGGCGCGCUAUACUGGGCGCUAUACUCAUGAAUUUUCAAUGAGUUUCGUUCCGAGGUAUCGGCGAUAUUCGACAGCACACACGCAGCUCGCGGCGCUGAAGUCCUAAUUCAAACAUUAGUAUUAUUUCAUUGUUACUUCUGUAUUUUACACAAAAUAUGUACUAUAGUACAUAUUUUGUAAAAUACACAUGAAGUAGGUAAAGUGAAUUAAAAAUACAAUUGAGUUAUAUUUUCAAUGGAACAUCACAGUUAAUUAUAUCGAUUAUGAGAAUUUAAAUUAUAAGAGUGUCAUUUCCAGCAGAGAUCCUCUCGUCUCUUCUACAUUCAUUAUUUUACCUUUUUUGAUGGUGAAUUUUUCGGGGGAUACAGUGUUCGAAUAAAGGACAUAAUACAUUGUGUAGCAUUUACUGUACUUUAAUAAUACUAAUUAGUCAUUAUGACG